GAUGAACGCUGGCGGCGUGCCUAAUACAUGCAAGUCGAGCGAACAGACGAGGAGCUUGCUCCUCUGACGUUAGCGGCGGACGGGUGAGUAACACGUGGAUAACCUCCCUAUAAGACUGGGAUAACUUCGGGAAACCGGCGCUAAUACCGGAUAAUAUAUUGAACCGCAUGGUUCAAUAGUGAAAGACGGUUUUGCUGUAACUUAUAGAUGCAUCCGCGCCGCUUUAGCUAGUUGGUAAGGUAACGGCUUAUCAAGGCAACGAUGCGUAGCCGACCUGAGAGGGUGAUCGGCCACACUGGAACUGAGACACGGUCCAGACUCCUACGGGAGGCAGCAGUAGGGAAUCUUCCGCAAUGGGCGAAAGCCUGACGGAGCAACGCCGCGUGAGUGAUGAAGGUCUUCGGAUCGUAAAACUCUGUUAUUAGGGAAGAACAAAUGUGUAAGUAACUAUGCACGUCUUGACGGUACCUAAUCAGAAAGCCACGGCUAACUACGUG
This 497-nucleotide ribosomal RNA is filed under the name uncultured bacterium. RNAcentral's name for it is "partial 16S ribosomal RNA". It matches the Rfam family "Bacterial small subunit ribosomal RNA", at positions 28 to 507 of the family's 1533-position model. The record is from RNAcentral.